Molecule: long non-coding RNA, 330 nt
Filed under: Rhopalosiphum maidis (corn leaf aphid)
Lineage: Eukaryota; Metazoa; Arthropoda; Insecta; Hemiptera; Aphididae
Description: uncharacterized LOC113558960
Source: RNAcentral
UUAAAAAUUCAACUGUUCUAUGUAUUCAUAUAUUUUAUAUUGAGAAUUAAGUUUGUCAAAUAAUUUUUGUUUGAUUGUUUUCGUUUCUUAAUUAUUCAGUGUUUUCCACGUACUAGUUGUAUAAAGAUUUUCGUUCUGCUUAUUAUGGCAGUACAGAAGACAACUCAAGGCAUACUGGACAUAAAUUCACUUUUCUACCACUUACGAAAGUACCAAUAUCAUACGUUGAAAACGGACUGGAAGAUACUGAUAAUAAUAAUGGCUUUAUGCAAUAUAGCAGUGCAGCAGUUCACCCAAGGCUUGCUGGGACAGUCAUUUGCAUUCAUAGCA